UCGAUUGAGCAUUAGAUGGACUUGGAUGAUGGUGAAAAACUGUUGUAGGCCUCGAACUUGAGCUUGCCACCGUACUCCUCGGGGAGCUGGGACUCGUCAAUGGCGUCUCUAAGCGUGGCGUCGAGGUCCCUAUCAGCGACGAACACAAACUUCUUCUUGGUCUUGUCAUCAAUAAAGGGGUACACCAUCUUCCAUGCAGCCAUGAAUAUUUAGGGCACGUGGAUCAGUAACACCCGGCCCACCCUCUCCGGGUAAUAGCUCUGCAUGAUGUCCAGCCCUGCCAGGUACCCCCGCAUGUCGCAGUUCGCGUACCCCCAUCCCUUCAGGUCUAUCACUACCGCAAACUUCUCCUGUCCUGCAGACAGCCUACAACGAUUCAGACAAACCCAUCAGUUAACCACUCGAUCAAUCUACUAUUAGCUAGCUAGUUAGCAGACUGUGAAUGCAUGCAAAACUGAUGGAUCUAUCUGGGUCCAUACCUGGUGCAGCUUUUCUCAAAAGCGUAGGCCACGUAGCGCUUGAGAUCUUCGUGAUCACCCUGGACGGGGAAGUGGUGCCCACCAUAGAGAUACGACAUGGGGCGACCAAGACGGUCAAAACCCUGGUGGCGGUCUCUUCCCUUUGUGAUCUCGCCCCGCACCUCGUCGUCCGAGAUGAAGCCAUGGGGCAGGGUGACACGCUUCCAGGCAAGGUACCGGAGAAGCAUCGCCGACGCCUUUUGUAUGUUGUGCUCCCGGGCACGCAGGAACUUCCGCAGCGUGAAGUCAUCCUCCUCCUGCACACGAAUGAUAGCGAUAGAUGAACAAUUGGAUCAUCAUCCAGGUGUGCAUACAUGAUUGGAAGGCAGGUUCUAUGAACAUCGUGCACACACAUGGCGUUUCAUUCGGAGGAUUGUGCCAAUAUUCUCUGGAUUUGCAUCGAUCCCCAAUUCGGAAACGAGGAAACCGAUUAACUUUCUGCCUGGGACUCCGAAUGUGCACUUUGAUGGAUUGAGUUUGAUAUCAUAUCUUGUUAAGUUGGCAAAGGUUUCAGCCAGGUCAUUCAGCAGGUCGGAACCUUUGCGUGACAUGACCACUAAGUCAUCCAUGUAUGCUUCCACAUUCCGACUGAUUUGAGUGACCAGGCACUUUUAAAUCAUGCGCAUGAAAGUGGCACCGCCAUUCUUGAGGCCAAAGGGCAUGGUGACAUAGCAAACGCAUCCGAAUGGGGUGAUGAAAGUUGUUUUUAUCUCAUUGGGUCCAUACAGACGGAUCUGAUGGUACCCGGAAUACGCAUCCAAAAAGGGCAAGCGCUCACAUCCCACAGUUUAGUCGACUAUUUGGUCGAUGCGGGGCAGAGGGAAAUGAUCUUUUGGGCAGGCCCGAUUGAUAUGCUUGAAAUCAAUACACAUACGAAGUGACUUAUCUUUCUUGGGGACCAUGACGAUGUUGGCGGGCCUCUUCUUCACCAAUCGCAUUCCUCUUCUCCAUGGCGAACCGACAGAGAUGCUCUUUAACAGGUUUUGCUUUUGGGUCGACUCACAAACGGUGCUCAGCAAGUCCCCUGGGUACACCUGGAAUGUCUGAUGGUUUCCAUGCGAAGAUGUCCCAGUUCUCACGGAGGAACUGGAUGAAUGCUUCUUCCUAUUUUUUGUCGAGUGUUGUUGAAAUAUGGGUCGGACCAGAGUUUGUAUCGGUCGGGUGAAUGUGAACUGUCUUUGUUUCACCUGCCGACUAAAAUGCAGACUGCGAGGCGGUAUUUUUGGAGCGCAACAAAUCACUCGGAUCUACAUUCUUUUGGUACUCUUGAAACUCCACUGCUGCAAUCUGAUCAUCAGCAAUCUUACAACCUUUCUGGAAGCAAUCUUCUACCCUUUGUUGACUCCCAAUGACCGUGAUCACGCCUUUGAGGCUGGGCAUUUUUAUCUUGAGGUAUACAUAACAUGGUCGAUCCAUGAAACGAGCAUAUGCAGGUCGACCCAAAAUGGCAUGGUACUCACUUUUGAAAUCCACUACCUCAAAGGUCAACUUCUCCUUGCGAUAAUUCUUCUCAUCGCUGAAAACCACGUCAAGAGUGAUUUGGCCGAGUGAAUAGCCUUUCUUUCCUGGGAUGACUCUGUGGAAUCGUAUGUUGCUUUCACUGAGCUUGGACAUCGGGAUGCCCGUCCCUUUGAGGGCCUCAGCGUAUAGGAUAUUCAGACCACUACCACCGUCCAUAAAAACCUUGGUCAAUCGAGUGCCCCCAACGACUGGGUCGACCACCAGCGCUUGCCGCCCAGGGGUGGCAAUGUGUGCUGGGUGGUCAGAUUGGUCGAAUAGUAUGGGGUUUUUUGACCACUUCAAGUAUGUUUUCGUUGCUGGGGCAACCAUGUUUACUUCCCUGUUGAUCACUUUCAAUCAACUUUUUCUAUCGACGUUAGCAAAAAUCAUCAAAGUGGCAUUGACAUUGGGAAAACCAUCAUCCUCGUCCUUGUCGUCUUCCUUAUCCUACUCUUUUUCCUUCUCACUAGGCUGACCUUUCUCACGGAAACUCUGGAUCAGGAGUCGACACUGUCGAGUGGUAUGCUUGGGGAGAAUCAGAUUCCCCUCUGCAUCCUUUUUGGUGUAUAUAUGACACGGCAAAUCAAGUACAUCAUUCCCAUCUUGAUACUUCACUUUAAUAGGGUUCCAGGUCCGCUUGGGCUUCCCUUUGAACUUUCCCUGGUUCAACAUUGUUGCCUCAGCAGGGCAUGCUGCCUCAGCCUUUUGCUUCUACUUUAGACUGGAAUUCCCACCUCUGGUGUCUUGGGCGACUGACUUGUGCUUGCCGCUCCGAAGUCGGUCUUCUUCUUCGCCGAUAGCACAUUUUGUGGAAAUCUCCAUCAUCCAAGCCAGAGACAUGUCUCUAGUCCGACCGAACUUUAGAUUGAGCUCUCUGUAGCGAACGCCUUCUUUGAAGGCAUAGACUGCUUGGUGAUCAGAUACAUUUCUCCACUAUGUGAUGCAGAGUGAUCCACCUCUGGAUAUAAUCUCUCAACGUCUCAUUCGGUUUCUGCACUCAAUGCUGUAGUUUCGACAAACCAGCAGGUCUCUUCUUAGUACCCUCAAAUGUUUUGGUAAACACUCGGGCCAACUCAUCCUAACUGAGAAUGCUUCCAAGGGCCAACUGGUUCUGCCAAGCUCUGGCAGAACCUUCGAGCAUCAAAGGGAGAUGCUUCAUGGCCACCUCAUCACUGCCGCCACCAAUAUGCACAGCCACUCGGUAAUCCUCCAACCAAAUGUCGGGCUUCGACUCUCCUGUAAACUUGCUGACGCCUGUAGCCAGUCUGAAGUUGUGAGGGAGCUCAGCGGCUCGGAUGGCUCUUCCGAAACACUCAGGGCCAGAAACGUGAACCCUGCUUCCACUAGACCUGUCUCUAUCCAGCCCCUCUCUGUAUGCUCUCUUCCGAUCGACCAAACCCUGUACAAGGACUGACCUUGCAUCGAACCCAGGCUCUCUAGGGUUGACUAGAACUCUGCGGUCAUUACCGUACGGGCGCCAGUCGUCGUACAGCCGGGGUGCGUACGACCCAUCCCUCGGAAGGGGCGAAGGCACUCGCCGGUGAUGGUCACGGGCGUACUCACGAUCAAACUCUCCAUGAGCUCUUCCCAGGUGCCGAUCUCAGCGGUGAUCACGCUCUUCACACAGCAAACGUGAGUGUGCCGACUGGACUGUAUCUGCCCUUACUAACUUGAUGUGCAUCCUGUUCCGUGACUGGAAAACAACGGAGUUCAGCUCUCCUGCCGCUCGGAGCAGCGCUCGGAUCUGUUCCAAGCCCCUCCUAUGAACGGGACGACUGAAUAGAAUCUGCUAUACGCGUAGCAGCUGCAAGAUUCUGGAUCGGUGUACGGAAUACCUGAGGUUUAAGAGGAAACAAUUAUCGUGGAUGUCGACUAAAUUCAGGGAUCAGUCAACGGGCACGUUCGUCGAGAGAAUGUUAGAGAUUCUCCAAACGGGCGCGCUCAGCCAACGUGGCCAGGCGCAAUGCCUCUAAGGCCCGAGCCUCGGUGGUUUCCCGAUGAUGGGGGUCUGAAGGGCCUCCACAUUGUGGCAGUGCAGCUCCUCCCUCUACUACGGAUUGAGAGGUUGGGGCUCGUACUCCUCGUGGUCGAAUGACGCGCCAUCGCCGCCACCGUUGCCGCUGCUACGGCGAAACUUAGGCGGACAGCGAUAGGAAUCGACCAUGAGGACUUCUGCCACGGGGUCACAACUCCCGCUCUCAGAAAGAGUAUCUGCACACCCAGUCGACAGGUCAACUGGACUGCAGUGAAAUUCCCCGGGCUCGAUUUCCGCGACUUGGGCGGGGGGGUGGCCAUCUGGUGAGCCACCGCAUGCCUCACCCAUCGCUGGAGCUGCGACCGACCAGAUCGCUUGUGGCAAUGUCCAGCAGAGUGAGUAGGCGACAUGAAAGCCGACCGAUACGGAGUCGACAGCUGUCGUAGGAGGACGCCGCAGGCACUCGCGCGGAAAUGCAAAGAUCCAUGGAUUAGGAGAGCCUUGACGUCGAGGGGAGCUUCCUGAAGCCAGGCGGAGUUGUCAGCGACAAAGUGAGUGCACCGAGUCGGAACUCGCGACCCAUGAUCAAACCGCCGCCGGAAACCAUGCUGAUGAAGAUCGGAGAAAACAUAACCUCGCCGGAAGUUUCUAAGACGCUUUGCCCCAUGGUGGGCGCCAACUGUCAUGGUACUAAGUAUGGCAGUAAGAAUAGGGGGUAUGUAUGAGGAGGCGAGGUCCAAGCUACUGCGAGGUUGUACACACGAGUUUACGAGUUCAGGCCCCUCUCGGAGGAGGUAAAAGCCCUACAUCUCGGUGCCCUGAGGUGGUGGACUGGAAUAUGGAUGUGUGUGUUACAAGGGGUGCGAACCCUUGUCCCAGAGGAGGGGGUGGCUUAUAUAGAGUGGGCUAGGAUCCCAGUCGUCCCUGUUACAGGGUUCAAUGUACAUUAAGAUAGAGCGUUACUGAUAACGCCAGCUAUGAAGUGCGUCAUCAAUGGUCUUUAAGACUACAGAGUGAAUGCCUGACCAUUGCCAUCCCGAGUGGUUCUAGGUCUUCUAUACUCCGAGUGGUUCCCUGUAUGGUCGAAUGACUCCAUCCAUGUCUAGUGAAAUUGGAGGUAUCCGAGUGAGGUGACUGGUAAAGUGGAUUGCACUCGAUGGCUUCAGUUGAUACUCCUUGUUAUAUCUUGAACGUCCUUGAUUCUAGGGUAGUGACCUUGGGUAGGGAGUAUAGGUCAGGUCUAUGACCCUACCCUAGGUCUAUGGCAUCCUCAUUAGCGCCCGAAUGGAUUGAGGUCCGAGUGAAAAGAAAGUUGAAGUUGACCCUGUCUUAACCCCUAUGCUUCAUAAGCAUCCUUGACGAGCUCAAGAUUCCUGCUGAGACUUUGACUUCAUUUCAGUUGCCUUGAUCGAUUCAAAGGUCAUCGAGUGAAUUUGUACUGAUAAUCUUCGAGUGUCGUAAUGGUGCGAAAUCUUCGGCGCGAUUGGUUACUGUCGUUCCCGGAUCUCACGGGAUUCAAAAAUUUGGGAAAGCGCGUGAGGUAGGGAGCACCACACUCAACGGGAUGGAUAGACACGGGCGCCUCGAUUUCCACGCCACCUUUUUCGCCACGUAUCUGGCGCGCGGCUGUUGUGGGAUUUGACAGAUUUGCUCGGGCCCACGCGCCAACCACUCGAAAGUAGACCCUUAAAAGGCGUCGAGGCCGAGGCGUCUGCAUUGUGCGCUUCUAUUCCCCUUCUUCCUCUGCCUCUCCACCGCAUCUCCUUUCACCCUCGACACCGCCGCUCCGCCAGUGCGCAGCCCUCCACCAUGGUGAAGGACAAGACGGCGGCGCUGGAGCGCGCAGGAAAGGCGAUGGAGACGGCGAAGGGCAAGAAAAUGAAUCGGGGGUCAUCGUCGAGGUCCACGCUGCCGCCGGGUUGGACUCAGGGAGACUGGAUCCGAUCUACACUCCGGCCCAAUGAUCUAGAGGAUCUGGCCUCCACUGGUUUGACCAGCGUCGGGGCUGCGAGGUUGAGGGAGGAUGAGAGGGAGCCUCAGCCGUGGGCGGGUGAGUGUGUCCUCCUCUCUACACAUGUGGAUUGUGGAUUCUCCCUUCCCCCGCACCCUUUCUUUGGUUUUUUUUGAACUUCUUUGGCGCCUAGCUUCAUCACUUCUCUCCCAAUACCAUUACAUAUCUCGCUGCGUUAGUGUCCAUGUGCGAAAACUUCCUUGGCUAUAGACUGCAUUGGGGGCUUUUCAAACAUAUUUUCACCAUACGUUCCCAAACUUUGAAGAAGGCAAAGUCGACUGACGAAAGAACGAACGUGAUUCAGAUGUUCGGGGGUUUAGGGAUUCAGAUGAGAAAGAGUAGCACUUUUCCUCCCAUGACUCCUCCUGAGUCGGUUAGGGGCUGGCAGUCGACCUGGUUCUACUGCGAGGACAUUCCGACUCCGGGUCACCCGACCGGCCUUCCUCCCUUCACCCUAGAUUGAGUCCAACAAACUUCUUCAUUGAUUGUUACCACAACGGAGAAGGUAGAGACAAACAUGUUGGUCGAGAGAGUAGUCCAGUUGGUCCGUCAGGGCGUAACUGGCAUGGACUUGUUGGAGGUGUUUCUCAGUCGAUGCAUCCAGCCGCUCCAAGCCCGUGACUACUCGAUGUGGAUGUACUCGGGCUCCAACGAUAUCGCUCGGGUCCAUCCAGAGGAGGUUCCCGGCGAGAUGGUGGCUCUGUGGCUGAAGAGAUUUACCGGAAACAAAGACAACCCUAGGGGAGCCAGGACAGUCGAUCCAUUCGACACAGAGAACUAGCCGGACAAGGUCCAAUCCUUUUUACCGAGUGUACUUUAUUCUGUCUUGUAACUGUAUUAGAAUCUGACUGAUGUUUGAUUGAUCUCCCGCCUUGCAGGUUUAUACUGAGAUGUACUCGAUGAACAAGCCCAGGAGCAAGUCCAGGAGGGACCAGACAGCACGGAAGAGAGCAGCGAAUGGCAAUCCUCUGAUGACGAUGAUGAAGAAGAGAGUGACGAAUCGGACAAUGAAGAGGAGGUCGACUCACCACCUCGCACCAAGCGCCGAUCCAAGCAGUUCCACUAUCCAGCGGGCGGGCAUGGCAAGACCGUGGCUCCGAGUACGUAAGAAAAUAAGUGCACUCGGACUUCGACUCUGGAGCCAUCAGAGAAGGGUGCCAAGAAGCCCAAGGUUGCUCCUCCAAAGUCUCGGAAGACUUUGCCCAAGAUCAAGAUGGAUGUUCCUGUUCCUUCUGCGUGAGUGCUUUAUCUUUUUGUGUUUCCCUACAGACUCAUUCUUCUGUUUUGACCGACUGGGUUAUGAUCUCUUCAGUGCCGCAACUUCCGGAACCUCCAUGUAUAUUGACAGAACCCCAGGUGAUGAAGAGACUGAAGAUGCGGCAACUUCCAAAGCUGGUAUGACCCUGCAAUCUUAAACUUGUGCUGUCGACUAUGCUGUCGAUUGAGUUGUCCGUCGAUUGAACCCCUAUGGUUGCUUUUUUUUGUAGCUCCGUGGGACAUCAUUGAGCUUCGAGACAACGAGGAAGAAGUGCCUCUGAAGACUACGGGGAUGAAAGGCAGGGCUUCGAGCAGGAGUACGGCCGUAGGCCAGGAGCCUCAGUCGACAUCGACGCCGGAGGCAGUGGUCCCGUGAUCCGGAGAUCCGGCUCAGGCCAGUGUUUCUUUUGCCAAUCCGUUAUCGACUGAACGUCCCCUGUGCAGCUCCAUUCUUCGGAUCCUGUGGUUACUCCGACUAGAUUACCAUCAUCGCUCUUUGCUACAUAUCGUACUCCAGACGACCCGGCGAGUGCCGCCAGGGAUGCCCUUCUCCAGGAAAACCUUGUGAUGGGGCAGAUGAAGGUGGUGCACGAGGCCCGUCAGGUUGCCUACAAUGCCAGUGCUGCACUGCAAGUCAAUGUCAAGGUCAGUUGGUUUCCGACUGGUUUCUGGAUUAGUGGUAGUUGCAACUGUUGCUUCAUUGCUCGUAAGGUGUUUCUGGAUGAGCGUUUUAGGACCUUUAUGUGCAUCUAUCAUGGGUCUGUAUUUCGCAUCCAAUCACCCACUUGGUGUUUUGACUUAGUGUUGAAUUGCAUUUCCGCUUGAGUCGACCAUGUUGAGUCGAGUAUUUUUCCGAACCAGUGGGGGCACGUAGAAUGCACCCACUGGGUGUAGUCCCCAAGACCACCGUCAGGUGAUUGACGCGGCGGGGGUCUUUGUCGAAUGAUGUUCCGUUGUUCUUUCACUCGGGUGAAUAGAUCGAUCCGAGUGGAAUCCAGACUAGUGGGGGCACACUGAGUGCACCCACUGGGUGUAGUCCCCGAGACCGCGGUCGACUACUGGUAGUUGGCUGGGGUCUGAGAAUCUCUUUUUUUGCAUACUCAUGCCGGGCGGACCAUGUAGAGUGAAAAACCGGACUAGUGGGGGCACGCCAAGUGCACCCACUGGGUGUAGUCCCUGAUACUACUGUUGAAUGUUUGAUUCGGCGGUAGUCUUAGAGAAAUUUCCGCUGUGACUGACCUUUGUUUCUGUCGACUCACAUAUCUUAUUUGCUGACCGCAGAAAUCUUGUGAUCUUGGAGCCCAAUUUUCUGAACUUGAGAAGAAGCAGAUCAGCCUCAACUUCGACCUCGAGUUGGCCAAGAAGAACCUUCAGAAGGCCCAGGAAGAAGCAACUACCAUGGGAGGUAAUAAGUCAUCUACUGUCCUCCUUAUGAUGAUUUUUUCUUUUAGUCUCUUGAACCGAGUGACUUCACUCGAAUAGAUGUGCGUAGUGAAAACCGACAACUCCAAGCUCAUCUGAAGAAUGUUAUUUCUUUAGAUAAAAUGAAGGAGGCUCUAGAGAAGAAGGAUCAAGACCUUGUCGCAUCGCAGAAGGAGGCGCGAGAGAAAAUAACACUCGCAGAUAAGAAGCUGGCCUAAGUCAGCAAGUUAGAAGAGGAGAACUCCAAGCUAAAGACUGCUGGUGCUGAGGCCAACCAGGAGGUUGAGAAGCUGAAGAAGGACAAGGAGACCCUGACUGACAAGGUUGGAAGUCUCACAGCGAAGAAGGGCGAACUGGAAGCUUAUCUGGGACAGCUUGCUGGGAAACUGGUCUUGAAGCUUGAAGAUAUUUCUUCUUAUCUGACUGGUUUGUCGAUGUCGGCUGACACAUCUUAUUUAACUAUCGACUCACCGAUUUUAUGACUGCGCAGAACUUUGCCAAGACUUAGAAGCGGAGACUGGGCAGGUUGUCUCGACCCCAUAAACUCACCCGUCAAUGAUGAUGUCGCGAUGAACAUGCUGCGGUUGGAGUCUCGUCUAGACAAUGCUGUGGACUAUCUUGCUCGUUUGAAGGUGGCAAUGACGCGGAUUGACACUGAACUCUGGCCCCAGCUGGAACUCCAGAAUGAUAUCGAGUCUGUGAUGGCUCGACUGAAUGAAAUCCCUGGUCGAGUGCAAGAGCAGAAUAAGUUGUCUGCUCGCUGCGGCGCUGACGUGGCUCUGUCGUUGGUCCGACUCCAUUGCAAGGAUGUUAGAGAAGACAAGCUGGCGGCUCUCAAGGUUUCCAACACUAAGAAGCUCAGCUUUCAAUCCUUCAUGGACAACUUCAACGACGCCGCCACCCGCAUCGCAGACAGCUUUGUCGAGCCAGCAAGUCCUCCUCCUGCUGAGUGAACAAACAUUAUGCCCCACCUUUUAUUUUCCUCGAAAUGCCGAUUUGUUCUGUAACCGUUAAACUCUUUCAGGCCUGAUGCCUGAGUACUUCUUCCCGUUGUGGUUCUGUACUUUUGUGGGAUUUAUCUGAACUUGAUUUUCUUCGAAUACAACGGUUUUGUCUUUGUCGCUUUUGGAUGUUUUUGGUCCUGAGUGGGACUUUACCUUUCCAAUCCUCGUCGAGUGGCUCUGAUGAUGUGGUUGAAUGACACCUCGUCAUCCUUGCGGAUCGGGAUGGAGCGUAUGUUGUACUUGUGAUGCAGCUCAGAGGACGUGUUCAAUCGACACCUCGUCGUCCUUGCGGACCGGGAUGGAGCGUACGUUGUACUUGUGAUGCAUCUCAGAGGAUGUGUUCAAUCGACACCUCGUUGUCCUUGCGGAUCGGGAUGGACCGUAAGUUGUACUUGUGACGCAGCUCAGAGGAUAUGUUCAAUCGACACCUCGUCGUCCUUGCGGAUCGGGAUGGAGUGUACGUUGUACUUGUGACGCAGCUCAGAGGAUCUUUGUGACUUAGGUGAGUACGGGGUCACAGCUAAGCCCUCGAGUGGGAGGAUCUCUCUCCACUCGGAGUGUUUUUUACCUUAGGCGAGUACGGGGUCGCAGCUAAGCCCCUGAGUGGGAGGAUCGCUCUCCACUCGGAGUGUUUUCUAACUUAGGCGAGUACGGGGUCGCAGCUAAGCCCUCGAGUGGGAGGAUCGCUCUCCACUUGGAGUGUUUUUUAACUUAGGCGAGUACGGGGUCGCAGCUAAGCCCCCGAGUGGGACGAUCUCUCUCCACUCGGAUUGUUUUCNNNNNNNNNNNNNNNNNNNNNNNNNNNNNNNNNNNNNNNNNNNNNNNNNNNNNNNNNNNNNNNNNNNNNNNNNNNNNNNNNNNNNNNNNNNNNNNNNNNNNNNNNNNNNNNNNNNNNNNNNNNNNNNNNNNNNNNNNNNNNNNNNNNNNNNNNNNNNNNNNNNNNNNNNNNNNNNNNNNNNNNNNNNNNNNNNNNNNNNNNNNNNNNNNNNNNNNNNNNNNNNNNNNNNNNNNNNNNNNNNNNNNNNNNNNNNNNNNNNNNNNNNNNNNNNNNNNNNNNNNNNNNNNNNNNNNNNNNNNNNNNNNNNNNNNNNNNNNNNNNNNNNNNNNNNNNNNNNNNNNNNNNNNNNNNNNNNNNNNNNNNNNNNNNNNNNNNNNNNNNNNNNNNNNNNNNNNNNNNNNNNNNNUAAGCCCCGAGUGGGAGGAUCGCUCUCCCCUCAGAGUGUUUUUUAACUUAGGCGAGUACGGGGUCGCGGCUAAACCCCUGAGUGGGAGGAUCGCUCUCCACUCGGAGUGUUUUAUAACUUAGGCGAAUCGGAUUCGCGGCUAAGCCCCCGAGUGGGAGGAUCGCUCUCCACUCGGAGUGUUUUUUAACUUAGGUGAGUACGGGGUCGCGGCUAAGCCCCCGAGUGGGAGGAUCCCUCUCCACUUGGACUGUUUUUUAACUUAAGCGAAGAUUCGCGGCUAAGCCACCCACUGGGGGAUUUAGACACAUGUGUUUAUGGGAACAACGAUCAUUAAGAUACUGCAAAAUUAUUGUCCUUGAUAAGCAAACUGAAGUACUUAUAUUACAACUCGUCUAUCCGAGUGAUUUAUGUGUAAAAAUGGCGGAGCAACUCUUCCAUGCGCGUGGCUCGUCCAUCUUCUUGGCUACAUUGUAGAUGUGGUACGCUCCAUUGUGAAGCACCUUGGUGAUGAUGAACGGACCUUCCCAGGCUGGAGCGAGCUUGUGAGGCCGUUUUUUAUCCACUCGGAGCACAAGGUCUCCUUCUUGGAACGCUGGACCUUUGACGUUGCGGGCAUGGAAUCAACGCAAAUCUUGCUGAUAGAUGGUCGACUGAAUCAGAGCCAUCUCACGUUUCUCUUCGAGGAGAUCCACUACGUCUUGGCAUGCUUGUUUUGCUUCAGCUUCUGAGAAGAGUUCUACUCGGGGGGUGUUGUGUAGUAAGUCACUCGGAAGCACAGGCUUGGCGCCGUACACCAGGAAGAAAGGGGUUCGGUCAGUCGACCGGUUUAGCAUCGUUCUCAGCCCCCAUAGAACGGAUGGUAACUCAGUCACCCAGGCUCCAGCAGCGUGCUUGAGGUCGCGCAUCAGUCGAGGUUUCAGCCCUUGAAGGAUCAAACCAUUCACCCUUUGUGCUUGCCCAUUCGAUUACGAGUGUGCAAUGGAUGCAUAGUCGACCCGAGUGCCUUGGGAAGCACAGAACGCCUUGAACUCAUCAAAAUCAAAAUUGGAGCCAUUAUCCAUGAUAAUACUGUGAGGGACUCCAUAUCUGAAUAUCAAUUCUCUGACGAAACUGACGGCAGUGCUUGAGUCAAGGUUUUUGAUAGGCUUGGCUUCGAUCCAUUUGGUGAACUUGUCGACUACUACGAGCAAAUGAGUGAAACCACUUCUACCAGUCCUGAAGGGCCCGACCAUAUCUAACCCCCAGACUGCAAAUGGCCAGAUGAGUGGAAUAGUCUUCAAGGCAGAUGCGGGCUUGUGGGACAUGUUGGAGUAGAACUGACAUCCUGCGCACUUGUCGACUAUAUCUUUCACCAUCUCAUUUGCACGGGGCCAAUAAAAUCCCGCUCGGUAUGCUUUGGCCACGAUGGUUCGAGAGGACGCAUGGUGACCACAGGUCCCCGAGUGGAUCUCGUUUAAGAUCAUUUGGCCUUCUUCUAGGGUGAUGUAGCCUUGAGCCGCUCCUGUGACACUUUCUCUGUAGAGCUGCCCUUUUAACACAGUGAAAGAUGUUGAUCGUCGGACGAUCUGAUGAGCCUCAUCUUCGUCCUCUGGGAGCUCAUUCCUAAGUAUAUAUGCGAUAUAUGACACUGUCCAGUCGGGCGUGAUCACUAAGACUUCCAUGAUCAAGUCGACCACAGCUGGGACUUCAACUUCAGUCGGGUCUGCUGAACUUAUCGGCUGUGGGGGUUCUUCCUUGAAGGGAUCUUCCUGUACUGACAGGGUGUGGAGAUGCUCCAAAAACACAUUACUGGGGAUAGGCUUCUAGUGGGACCUAUCUUCGCCAGCUCAUCAGCCGCUUGAAUCUUGAUUCGGGGUAUGUGGUGGAGCUCUAACCCCUCGAACUUCUUUUCCAGCUUCCUUACUGCAUUGCAAUAACCGGUCAUUGCUGGAUUCCUGACAUCCCAUUCCUUCAUCACUUGAUUGACCACUAAGUCUGAGUCGCCGUAUACCAUCAGGCGUCGGACGCCGAGUGAAAUGGCCAUACGUAACCCAUGCAGAAGUGCCUAAUAUUCAGCUUCAUUGUUUGAAGAAUCAAAGUGAAUCUGGAGGACAUAGUUGAGCUUGUCGCCUCUUGGGGAUACCAGAACCACUACUGCGCCAGAUCCAUUCAACAUCUUAGAGCCAUCAAAGAACAUAGUCCAAUGCUCCGAGUGAACCUGAGUCGGUUGCUCAUGUUCAGUCCACUCUGCAAGGAAAUCUUCUAUUGCCUGGGACUUGAUGGCCUUCUUUGCCUCAAACUUGAUAUGUAACGGAAGGAGUCCAAUCGCCCAUUUUGCCACUCGCCCAUUUGCUUCUCUAUUGUUCAGGAUUUCUGAUAGUGGAGCAUCACUGACUAUUGAAACCGAGUGGUCUGAGAAGUAGUGUGCUACUUUCUUCAUGGUUAGAUAAAUUCCAUAAACAAGGUUCUGAUAGUGUGGGUAUCUAUGAUUGGAUGGAGUUAAGACUUUAGAAAUAUAAUAUACUGGGCGUUGAACUUUGAAGGCCUUGCCUUCUUCUUCCUGCUCGAUUGUGAGCACUGUGCUGACAACCUGUCUAGUUGCUGCGAUGUAGAGAAGUAAAGGCUUCUUGCUGACUGGAGCAGCAAGCACCGGCUGGGUGGAAAGCAGAGCUUUGAGCUCUUCAAACGCUGCUUCAGCUUCACCAUUCCACUCAAACAUGUCAGACUUCUUCAUCAGUUGGUACAGAGGCAGUGCCUUUUCACUGAGGCGUGAGAUGAAUCGACUCAAUGCAGCCAAACAACUAGUAAGCUUCUGAACAUCGUGCACAUGCACAGGGCGUUUCAUUCAGAGGAUUGUGCGAAUAUUCUCUGGAUUUGCAUUGAUCCCCUGUUCUGAAACAAGGAAACCGAGUAACUUUCCGCCUGGGACUCCGAAUGUGCACUUUGAUGGAUUCAUCUUGAUAUCAUAUCUUCUUAAGUUGGCAAAGGUUUCAGCGAGGUCAGUCAGCAGGUCGGAACCUUUGCGUGACCUGACCACUAUGUCAUCCAUGUAUGCUUCCACAUUCUGACUAAUUUGAGUGAGCAUGCACUUGUGAAUCAUGCACAUGAAAGUGGCACCAGCAUUCUUGAGGCCAAAGGGCAUGGUGACAUAGCAAAAGCAUCCGAAUGGGGUGAUGAAAGCUAUUUUUAUCUCAUCAUGACCAUACAGACGGAUCUAAUGGUACCCGGAAUACGCAUCCAAAAAGGACAAGCACUCACAUCCCGCAGUUGAGUCGACUAUUUGGUUGAUGCAGGGCAGAGGGAAAUGAUCUUUCAGGCAGGCCUGAUUGAUAUGCUUGAAACAAAUACACAUAUUAAGUGACGUAUCUUUCUUGGGGACCAUGGCGACGUUGGCGAGCCACUCAGAGUGGUAUAUCUCGCGGAUGAACUCUGCUGCCAGGAGCCGAGCCACUUCUUCGCCAAUCGCCUUCCCCUUCUCCGUCGUGGACCGACGGAGAUGCUCUUUAACAGGUGUUUCUUUUGGGUCGACUCGCAAACGGUGCUCAGCUAGUCCCCUUGGUACACCUGGCAUGUCUGAUGGUUUCCAUGCGAAGAUGUCCCAGUUCUCACGGAAGAACUGGAUGAGCGCUUCUUCCUAUUUGCUGUCAAGUGUUGUUGAAAUAUGGGUCGGAGCAGCGUUUGGAUCGGCCGGGUGAAUGUGAAUCGGCUUUGUUUCACCUGUCGACUAAAAUGCGGACUCUGAGGCGGGCUUUUUGGCACGCAACAAAUCACUCAGAUCUGCAUUCUUCUGGUACUCUUGAAACUCCACUGCUGCCAUCUAUUCAUCGGCAAUCUUACAACCUUUCUGGAAGCAAUCUUCUGCCCUUUGUCGACUCCCAGUGACUGUGAUCACGCCUUUGAGGCCGGGCAUUUUCAGCUUGAGGUAUACAUAACAUGGUUGAGCCAUGAAACGAGCAUAUGCAAGCCGACCCAAAAUGGCAUGGUACGCACUUUUGAAAUCCACUGCAUCAAAGGUCAACUUCUCCUUGCGAUAAUUCUUCUCAUCGCCGAAAACCACGUCAAGAGUGAUCUGGCUGAGUGAAUAGGCUUUCUUUCCUGGGUUGACUCCGUGGAAUCGCAUGUUGCUUUCACUGAGCUUGGACAUCGGGAUGCCCAUCCCUUUGAGGGCCUCAGCGUACAGGAUAUUCAGACCACUGCCACCGUCCUUCAAAACCUUAGUCAGUCGAGUGCCCUCAAUGACUGGGUUUACCACCAACGCUUGCCGGCCAGGGGUGGCAAUGUGUGCUGGGUGGUCGAAUUGGUCAAAUAUUAUAGUUUUUUUUGACCACUUCAAGUAUGUCUUCGUUGCUGGGCAACCAUGUUUACUUCCCUGUUGAUCACUUUCAGUCGACUUUUUCUCUCGACGUCAACAAAAAUCAUCAAAGUGGCAUUGACAUUGGGAUAACCAUCAUCCUCGGCCUUGUCUUCUUCCUUAUCUGACUCUUUUUCCUUCUCACUAGGUUGACCUUUCUCACGGAAACUCUGGAUCAGGAGUCCAAACUGUCGAGUGGUAUGCUUAGGGAUAAUCAGAUUCCCUCUGCAUCCUUUUUGGUGUGUAUAUGACACGGCAAAUCAAGUGCAUCAUUCCCAUCUUGAUAAUUCACUUUCUUAGGGUUCCAGGGCCCCUUAGGCUUCUCUUUGAACUUUCCCUGGUUCAACAUUGCUGCCUCAGGAGGGCCUGCUGCCUCAGCCUUGCGCUUCUGCUUCCGACUGGAAUUCCCACCUCCGGUGCCUAGGGCGACUGACUCGUUCUUGCCGCUCCGGAGUCGGUAUUCUUCUUCGCCGUUAGCAUAUUUUGUGGCAAUCUCCAUCAUCCAAGCCAGAGACAUGUCUCCGGUCCGACCGAACUUCAGAUUGAGCUCUCUGUAGCGAAUGCCUUCUUUGAAGGCACAUACUGCUGUUGAAAAUAUACCCUAGAGGCAAUAAUAAAAUGGUUAUUAUUGUAUUUCCUUGUUCAUGAUGAUUGUCUACUGUUCAUGCUAUAAUUGUAUUAACUGGAAACCGUAAUACAUGUGUGAAUACAUAGAGCACAACAUGUCCCUAGUGAGCCUCUAGUUGACUAGCUCGUUAAUCAAUAGAUAGUUAUGGUUUCCUGACCAUGGACAUUAGAUGUCAUUGAUAACGGGAUCACAUCAUUAGGAGAAUGAUGUGAUGGACAAGACCCAAUCCUAAGCAUAGCACAAGAUCGUGUAGUUCGUUUGCUAAGGCUUUUCUAAUGUCAAGUAUCAUUUCCUUAGACCAUGAGAUUGUGCAACUCCCGGCUACCGUAGGAAUGCUUUGGGUGUGCCAAACGUCACAACGUAACUGGGUGGCUAAAAAGGUGCACUACGGGUAUCUCCGAAAUUCUCUAUUGGGUUGGCACGAAUCGAGACUGGGAUUUGUCACUCCGUAUGACGGAGAGGUAUCUCUUGGCGCACUCGGUAAUGCAUCAUCAUAAUGAGCUCAAUGUGACUAAGUAGUUAGUCACGGGAUCAUGCAUUAUGGAAUGAGUAAAGUGACUUGCCGGUAACGAGAUUGAACGAGGUAUUGGGAUACCACGAUCGAAUCUCGGGCAAGUAACAUACCGAUUGACAAAGGGAAUUGCAUACGGGAUUGCUUGAAUCCUUGACCUCGUGGUUCAUCCGAUGAGAUCAUUGUGGAACAUGUAGGAGCCAACAUGGGUAUCCAGAUCCCGAUGUUGGUUAUUGACCAGAGAACGUCUCGGUCAUGUCUGCAUGGUUCCCGAACCCGUAGGGUCUACACACUUAAGGUUCGGUGACGCUAGAGUUGUUAUGGGAAAUAGUAUGUGGUUACCGAAGGUUGUUCGGAGUCCCGGAUGAGAUCCCAGACAUGACGAGGAGCUCCGGAAUGGUCCGGAGGUGAAGAUCGGUAUAUUGGACGAAGGGUAUUGGAGUCCGGAAUUGUUCUGGGGGUACCAGGUGAUGACCAGCGUUGGGGGGGGGCUUAUGGGCCAAGGGGAGAGGGAACAUCAGCCCACUAAGGGGCUGAGCGCCCCUCCCACCCCAUGUCACGUAACCAGGAGAGGUGGGGGCGCCACCCCUAGGGCAGCGGCCCCUCCCGGCUUGGGGGGCAAGUUUCCUAGGGGGUGGGGGCGCCCAAACCCAUCUAGGGUUUCCCCUGUGGCCGCCACCCCUCCCCUAGGGAACCCUAGGGCGCCUCCCCCUCCUCCCUUCCCCCUAUAUAUAGUGAGGGAGAGAGGGAAGCCGCACCCUUCACCUGGCGCAGCCCCUCCCUCCUCCAACACCUACUCCUCCUCCGUAUUGCUUGGCGAAGCCCUGCCGGAGAACCACGAGCUCCAUCACCACUAUGCCGUCGUGCUAUCGGAGUUCUCCCUCAACUUCUCCUCUCCCCUUGCUGGAUCAAGAAGGAGGAGACGUCCCCGGGCUAUACGUGUGUUGAACACGGAGGCACCGUUGUUCGGUGCUUAGAUCGGAUUCGGCCGCGAUCUGAAUCGCUUCGUGAACGACUCCACCGACCGCGUUCUUGUAACGCUUCCUCAUCGCGAUCUUCAAGGGUAUGAAGAUGCACUCCCCUCUCUCUCGUUUCUAGUCUCUCCAUAUAUUGAUCUUGGUGAUGCGUAGAAAAUGUUGAAUUUCUGCUACGUUCCCCAACAGUGGCAUCAUGAGCUAGGUCUAUUGCGUAGAUUCUAUGCACGAGUAGAACACAAGUUGUUGUGGGCGUUGAUUUUGUUCAAUAUGCUUACCGUUACUAGUCCUAUCUUGUUUCGACGGUAUUGUGGGAUGAAGCGGCCCGGACCGACCUUACACGUACACUUACGUGAGACAGGUUCCACCGACUGACAUGCACUUGUUGAAUAAGGUGGCUAGCGGGUGCCAGUCUCUCCCUCUUUAGUCGGAUCGGAUUCGAUGAAAAGGGUCCUUAUGAAGGGUAAAUAGCAAUUGGCAUAUCACGUUGUGGUUUUGGCGUAGGUAGGAAAUGUUCUUGCUAGAAACCUAUAGCAGCCACGUAAAAACUUGCAACAACAAUUAGAGGAUGUCUAACUUGUUUUUGCAGGAUAUGCCGUGUGAUGUGAUAUGGCCAAGAAGGAUGUGAUGAAUGAAAUAUAUGUGAUGUAUGAGAUUGAUCAUAUUCUUGUAAUAGGAAUCACGACUUGCGUGUCGAUGAGUAUGACAACCGGCAGGAGCCAUAGGAGUCGUCUUUAUUUAUUGUAUGACUUGCGUGUCACUGAAUAACGCCAUGUAAUUACUUUACUUCAUUGCUAAACCGUUAGCCAUAGUAGUAGAAGUAAUAAGUUGGCGAGACAACUUCAUGGAGACACGAUGAUGGAGAUCACAAUGAUGGAGAUCAUGGUGUCAUGCCGGUGACGAUGAUGAUCAUGGAGCCCCGAAGAUGGAGAUCAAAAGCAGCAAAAUGAUAUUGGCCAUAUCAUGUCACUAUUUGAUUGCAUGUGAUGUUUAUCAUGUUUAUGCAUCUUAUUUGCUUAGAACGACGGUAGUAAAUAAGAUGAUCCCUCAUAAUAAUUUCAAGAAAGUGUUCCCCCUAACUGUGCACCAUUGCGAAAGAUCAUUGCUUCGAAGCACCACGUGAUGAUCGGGUGUGAUAGAUUCUAACGUUCACAUACAACAGGUGUAAGCCACAUUUACACACACAAAACACUUAGGUUGACUUGACGAGCCUAGCAUGUACAGACAUGGCCUCGGAACACAAGAGACCGAAAGGUCGAGCAUGAGUCAUAUAGUAGAUACGAUCAACAUGAAGAUGUUCACCGAUGAUGACUAGUCCAUCUCACGUGAUGAUCGGACACGGCCUAGUUGACUCGGAUCAUGUAUCACUUAAGAUGACUAGAGGGAUGUCUAUCUGAGUGGGAGUUCAUUAGAUGAACUUAAUUAUCCUGAACAUAAUCAAAAGGUCUUUGCAAAUUAAGUCGUAGCUUGGGUUUUAGUUCUACUGUUUUAGAUUGUUCCAAGAGAAAAUAUAGUUGAAAGUUGAUAGUAGCAAUUAUGCGGACUGGGUCCGUAAACCGAGGAUUGUCCUCAUUGCUGCGCAGAAGGCUUAUGUCCUUAAUGCACCGCUCGGUGUGCUGAACCUCGAACAUCGUCUGUGGAUGUUGCGAACAUCUAACAUACAUGUUUUGAUGACUACAUGAUAGUUCAGUAAUGGUAAACGGUUUAGAAUUGAGGCGCCGAAGACGGUUUUUGAAACGUCGCAGAACAUAUGAGAUGUUUCAAGGGCUGAAAUUGGGAUUUCAGGCUCGUGCCCACGUCAAGAGGUAUGAGACCUCUGACAAGUUUCUUAGCCUGCAAGCUAAGGGAGAAAAGCUCAAUUGUUGAGCAUGUGCUCAGAUUGUCUGAGUACUACAAUCACUUGAAUUGAGUGGGAGUUAAUCUUCCAGAUGAGAUAGUGAUGGUUCUCCAUAGUCACUGCCACCAAGCUAUUAGCGGUUCGUGAUGAACUAUAACAUAUCAGGGAUAGACAUGAUGAUCCUUGAGCAAUUCGCGAUGUUUGACACCGCGAAAGUAGAAAUCAAGAAGGAGCAUCAAUUGUUGAUGGUUGGUGAAACCACUAGUUUCAAGAAGGGCAAGGGCAAGAAGGGAUACUUCAUGAAAUGGCAAAUCAGUUGCUGCUCUAGUGAAGAAACCCAAGGUCGAACCCAAACCCGAGACUAAGUGCUUCCGUAAUGAGGGGAACAGUCACUGAAGGAGAACUACCCUAGAUACUUGGUAGAUGAGAAGGCUCGCAAGGUCGACAGGAGUAUAUUGGAUAUACAUUAUAUUGAUGUGUACUUUACUAGUACUCCUAGUAGCACCAUGGUAAUAGAUACCGGUUCAGUUGCUAAGUGUUAGUAACUCGAAAUAGAAGGCUAUGGAAUAAACGGAGACUAGCUAAAGGCGAGGUGACGAUAUGUAUUGGAAGUAUUUCCAAGGUUGAUGUGAUCAAACAUCGCAUGCUCCCUCUACCAUCGGGAUCGGUGUUAAACCUAAAUAAUUGUUAUUUAGUGUUUGCGUUGAGCAUAGAAAUGAUUGGAUUAUGUCUAUAGCAAUACGGUUAUUCAUUUAAGGAGAAUAAUGGUUACUCUGUUUAUUUGAAUAAUACCUUCAAUGGUCUUGCACCUAAAAUGAAUGGUUUAUUGAAUCUCGAUCAUAGUGAUACACAUGUUCAUGCCAAAAGAUAUAAAGAUAGUAAUGAUGGUACCACCUACUUGUGGCACUGCCAUUUGAGUCAUAUUGGUAUAAAACGCAUGAAGAAGCUCCAUGUUGAUGGAUCUUUGGACUCACUCGUUUUUGAAAAGUUUGAGACAUGCGAACCAUGUCUAUUGGUAUGUGCGCAUGAAGAAACUCCAUGCAGAUGGAUCGUUUGGACUCACUUGAUUCUAAAUCACUUGAUACAUGCAAAUCAUACCACAUGGCCAAGAUGACUGAGAAGCCUCGUUUUCAGUAAGAUUGAACAAGAAAGCAACUUGUUGGAAGUAAUACAUUUUGAUGUGUGCAGUCCAAUGAGUGCUGAGGCACGCAGUGGAUAUCGUUAUGUUCUUACUUCACAGAUGAUUUGAGUAGAUGUUGAGUAUAUUUACUUGAUGAAACACAAGUCUGAAUUAUUGAAAGGUUCAAGUAAUUUCAGAGUGAAGUUGAAGAUCUUCGUGACAAGAGGAUAAAAUUUCUAUGAUAUGAUCAUAGAGAUGAAUAUCUGAGUUGCGAUUUUGGUACACAAUUAAGACAUUGUGGAAAUUGUUUCACAACUAACACCGCCUGGAACACCAUAGUGUGAUGGUGUGUCCGAUAAUCAUAGAUGCACCCUAUUGGAUAUGGGGCAUACCAUGAUGUCUCUUAUUGAAUUACCACUAUUUUUCAUGGGUUAGGCAUUAGAGACAACCACAUUCACUUUAAAUAGGGCACCACUAAUUCCAUUGAGAUGACACCGUAUGAACUAUGGUUUAGAGAAACCUAAGUUGUCGUUUCUUAAAAGUUUGGGGCUGCGACGCUUAUGUGAAAAAGUUUCAUCCUGAUAAGCUCGAACCCAAAGCGGAUAAAUACAUCUUCAUAGGACACCCAAAAUAGUUGGGUAUACCUCCUAUUUUAGAUCCGGAAGCAAAAGUGAUUGUUUCUAGAAAUGGGUCCUUUCUCGAGGAAAAGUUUCUCUCGAAAGAAUUGAGUGGGAGGAUGGUGGAGACUUGAUGAGGUUAUUGAACCAUCACUUCAACUAGAGUGUAGCAGGGCACAUGAAGUUGUUCCUGUGGCACCUACACCAAUUGAAGUGGAAGCUGAUGAUAGUGAUCAUGAAGCUUCGGAUCAAGUCACUACCAAACCUCGUAGGUCGACAAGGAUGCGUACUACUUCAGAAUGGUACGUAAUCCUGUCUUGGAGGUCAUGUUGCUAGACAACAAUGAACCUACGAGCUAUGGACAAGCGAUGGUGGGCCCGGAUUCUGACAAAUGGCUCGAGGCCAUAAAAUCUGAGAGAGGAUCCAUGUAUGAAAACAAAGUGUAGACUUUGGAAGAACUACUUGAUGGUCGUAAGGCUAUUGGGUACAUAUGGAUUUUAAAAGGAAGACGGACAAUGAUGGUAAGUAUCACCAAUAAGAAAGCUUGACUUGUCAUUAAGAUGUUUUCCGACAAGUUCAAGGAGUUGACUACGAUGAGACUUUCUCACUCGUAGCGAUGCUAAGAGAGUGUUGGAAUUAUAUUAGCAAUUACUGCAUGAUUUAUGAAAUCUUGCAGAUAGGAUGUCAAAACAUUGUUUCCUCGACGAUAUUCUUGAGGAAAGGUUGUAUGUGAUACAACCAGAAGGUUUUUUCAAUCCUGAAAGAUGCUAACAAGUGCGCAAAGCUCAAGCAAUCCUUCUAAGGACUGGAGUAAGCAUCUCGGAGUUGGAAUAUACGCUUUGAUGAGAUGAUCAAAGAUUUUGGGUUUAUACAAUGUUUAUGAGAAACUUGUAUUUCCAAAAGGGUGAGCGGGAGCACUAUAGCAUUUCUGAUGAGUAUAUGUUGUUGACAUAUUGUUGAUCGGAAAUGAUGUAGAAUUUCUGGAAAGCAUAAAGGGUUAUUUGAAAAGUGGUUUUCAAGGGAAACCCUGGAUUAAGCUUCUUGAACAUUGAGCAUCAAGAUCUAUAAGGAUAGAUCAACAACGCUUAAUAGUACUUUCAAACGAGCACAUACCGUGACAAGAUUUUGAAGGAGUUCAAAAUAGAUCGGCAAAGAAGGAGUUCUUGGCUGUGUUAUAAGGUGUGAAUAUUGAGUAAGACUCAAGACAUGACCACGACAGAAGAGAGAGAAAGGACGAAGGUCGUCCCCUAUGCUUCAGACGUAGGCUCUACAGUAUGCUAUGCUGUGUACCGCACCUGAAGUGUGCCUUGCCAUGAGUCAGUCAAGGGGUACAGGAGUGAUCCAGGAAUGGAUCAUAGGACAGCGGUCAAAGUUAUCCUUAGUAACUAGUGGACUAAGGAAUUUUCUCGAUUAUGGAGGUGGUAAAAGAGUUCGACGUAAAGGGUUACGUCGAUGCAUACUUUGUUACUAAUCUGGAUGACUAUGAGUAGUAAACCGGAUUCAUAUAGUAGAACAGUUAUUUGGAAUAGUUCCAAAUAGCGCGUGGUAGCUGCAUCUACAAGAUGACAUAGAGAUUUGUAAAACACACAUGGAUCUGAAUGGUUCAGACCCGUUGACUAAUAACCUCUCUCACAAGCAAGAUAUGAUCAAACCCCAUGGGUGUUGAAUUCAUUACAAUCACAUACUGAUGUGAACUAGAUUAUUGACUCUAGUGCAAGUGGGAGACUGUUGGAAAUAUGCCCUAGAGGCAAUAAUAAAAUGGUUAUUAUUGUAUUUCCUUGUUCAUGAUAAUUGUCUAUCGUUCAUGCUAUAAUUGUAUUAAGUGGAAACCGUAAUACAUGUGUGAAUACAUAGACCACAACAUGUCCCUAGUGAGACUCUAGUUGACUAGCUUGUUGAUUAAUAGAUAGUUAUGGUUUCCUGACCAUGGACAUUAGAUGUCAUUGAUAACGGGAUCACAUCAUUAGGAGAAUGAUGUGAUGGACAAGACCCAAUCCUAAGCAUAGCACAAGAUCGUGUAGUUCGUUUGCUAAAGCUUUUCUAAUGUCAAGUAUAAUUUCCUUAGACCAUGAGAUUGUGCAACUCCCGGAUACCGUAGGAAUGCUUUGGGUGUGCCAAACGUCACAACGUAACUGGGUGGCUAUAAAGGUGCACUACGGGUAUCUCCAAAAGUGUCUGUUGGGUUGGCACGAAUCGAGACUGGGAUUUGUCACUCCGUAUGACGGAGAGGUAUCUCUAGGCCCACUCGGUAAUGCAUCAUCAUAAUGAGCUCAAUGUGACUAAGUUAGUCACGGGAUCAUGCAUUAUGGAACGAGUAAAGUGACUUGCCGGUAACGAGAUUGAAUGAGGUAUUGGGAUACUGGCGAUCGAAUCUCGGGCAAGUAACAUACCGAUUGACAAAGGGAAUUGCAUACGGGAUUGCUUGAAUCCUUGACAUCAUGGUUCAUCCGAUGAGAUCAUUGUGGAACAUGUGGGAGCCAACAUGGGUAUCCAGAUCCCGCUAUUGGUUAUUGAUCGGAGAACGUCUCGGUCCUGUCUGCAUGGUUCCCGAACCCGUAAGGUCUACACACUUAAGGUUCGGUGACGCUAGAGUUGUUAUGGGAAAUAGUAUGUGGUUACCGAAGGUUGUUCGGAGUCCCAGAUGAGAUCCCGGACAUGACGAGGAGCUCCGGAAUGGUCCGGAGGUGAAGAUCGGUAUAUUGGACGAAGGGUAUUGGAGUCCGGAAUUGUUCCGGGGGUACCAGGUGAUGACCAGCGUGUGCGAAAGGGGUUUCGGAGGCCCCGGCAAGCGUUGGGGGGCCUUAUGGGCCAAGGGGAGAGGGCACAUCAGCCCACUAAGGGGCUGAGCGCCCCUCCCACCCCACCUCACGUAACCAGGAGAGGUGGGGGCACCACCCCUAGGGCAGCCGCCCCUCCCGGCUUGGGAGGCAAGUUUCCUAGGGGGUGGGGCCGCCCAAACCCAUCUAGGGUUUCCCAUGUGGACGCCGCCCCUCCCCUAGGGAACCCUAGGGAGCCUCCCCCUCCUCCCUUCCCCCUAUAUAUAGUGAGGGAGAGAGAGGGCAGCCACACCCUUCCCCUGGCGCAGCCCCUCCCUCCUCCAACACCUCCUCCUCCUCCGUAGUGCUUGGCGAAGCCCUGCCGGAGAACCACGAGCUCCAUCACCACUAUGUCGUCGUGCUGUCGGAGUUCUCCCUCAAAUUCUCCUCUCCCCUUGCUGGAUCAAGGAGGAGACGUCCCCGGGCUGUACAUGUGUUGAACGCGGAGGCACCGUUGUUCGGUGCUUAGAUCGGAUUCGGCCGCGAUCUGAAUCACUUCGUGAAUGACUCCACUGACCGCGUUCUUGUAACGCGUCCGCAUUGCGAUCUUCAAGGGUAUUAAGAUGCACUCCCCUCUCUCUCGUUGCUAGUCUCUCCAUAGAUUGAUCUUGGUGAUGCGUAGAAAAUUUUGAAUUUCUGCUACGUUCCCCAACAACUGCUUGGUGAUCAGAUACAUUUCUCCACUGUGUGGUGCAGAGUGAUCCACCUCUGGAUAUAAUCUCUCAAGGUCUCAUUCGGUUUCUGCAUGCAAUGUUGUAAUUCCGGCAAACCAACAGGUCCCUUGCAGGUGCCCUCAAAUGUUCUGGUAAACACUCGGGCCAACUCAUCCCAAGUGAGAAUGCUUCCAAGGGCAAACUGAUUCAGCCAAGCUCUGGCAGAACCUUCGAGCAUCAAAGGGAGGUGCUUCAUGGCCACCUCAUCACUGCCGCCACCAAUAUGCACAGCCACUCGGUAAUCCUCCAACCAAGUCUCGGGAUUCGACUCUCCUGUAAACUUGUUGACGUCUGUCGCCAGUCUGAAGUUGUGAGGGAUCUCAGCGGCUCGGAUGGCUCUUCCAAAACACUCAGGGCCAGAAACGUGAACCCUGCUUCCACUGGACCUGUCUCUAUCCAGCCCCUCUUUGUAUGCUUUGUUCCUACCGACCAAACCCUGUAGAAGGACUGACCUUGCAUCAAACCCAUGCUCUCUUGGGUCGACUGGAACUCUGCGGUCAUUACCAUACGGGCGCCUGUCAUCGUACCGCCGGGGUGCGUACGACCCGUCGUCCCUCGGAAGGGGUGAAGGCACUCGACAGUGAUGCUCACGAGCGUACUCACGAUCAAACUCUCCAUGAGCUCUUCCCAGGUGCCGAUCCCGACGGCGAUCACGCUCUUUGCGCCACAAAGAUGACCCGGGACUGUGUGCCGACUGGACUGUAUCUGCCCUUACUGACUUGCUGUGGAUCCUGUUCCGUGACUAGGAAACAACGGACUUCAGCUCUCCUGCUGCUCGGAGCAGCGCUCAGAUCUUUCCUAGCCCCUCCCAGCCUCUAAACGGGACGGCUGAAUAGAUUCUGCUAUACGCGUAGCUGCUGCAAGAUUCUGGAUUGGUGUACAGAAUACCUGAGGUUCAGGAGGAAACAAUUAUCAUGGACGUCGACUGGAUUCAGAGAUCAAUCGACGGGCAUGUUCGUCGAGAGAAUGUUGGAGAUUCUCCAAACGGGUGCGCUCAGCCAACAUGGCCAGGCGCACCGCCUCUAAGGCCCGAGCCUCGGCGGUUUCCCUGAUGAUGGGGGUCUGGAGGGCCUCCACGUUGCGGCGCUGCAGCUCCUCCCUCUACUGCGAGUUGAGAGGUUGGGGCUCAUACUCCUCGUGGUCGAAUGACGCGCCAUCACCGCCACCGUUGCCGCCGCUGCGGCGAAACCUAGGCGGGCUGCGACAGGAAUCGACAAUGAGGACUUCUGCCGUGGGGUCACCACUCCCACUGUCGGAAAGAAUAUCCGCAGACCCAGUCGACAUGUCAACUGGACCGCAGUGAAAUUCGCCGGGCUCGAUUGCUGGGACAUGGGGGGCGGCUGUCUGGCGAGCCAUCGCAUGCCUCACCCAUCGCUGGAGCCGCGACCGAUCGGAUCGCUUGCGGCGUUGUCCAGCGGAGUGAGUAGGGAACGUGAAAGCCGACCGAUACGGAGUCGACGGUUGUCGUAGGAGGACGCCGCAGGCACUCGCACGGAACUGCGAAGAUCCGUGGAUCGGGAGAGCCUCGACGUCGAGGGGAGCUUCCUGAAGCCAGGAGGAGUCGUCAGCGACGAAGUGAGCGCACCGAGUCGGAACUCGCGGCCCAUGAUCAAACCGCCGCCGAAAACCAUGUUGAUGAAGAUCGGAGAAAACACAACCUCCCCGGAAGUUGCUAAGAUGCUUUGCCCCAUGGGGGGCGCCAACUGUCGUGGUACUAAGUCUGAUAGUAAGAAUAGGGGGGUAUGUAUGAGGAGGCGAGGUCCAAGGUACGGUGAGGUUGUACACACGAGUUUACGAGUUCAGGCCCCUCUCGGAGGAGGUAAAAGCCCUACAUCUCGGUGCCCUGAGGCGGUCGACUGGAAUAUGGAUGUGUGUGUCACAAGGGGUGCGAACCCUUGUCCCAGAGGAGGGGGUGGCUUAUAUAGAGUGCGCCAGGACCCCAGCCGUCCCCCGUUACAGGGUUCGAUGUACAUUAAGAUAGAGCGUUACUGAUAACACCAGCUAUAAAGUGUGUCAUCAAUGGUCUUUAAGACUACGGAGUGAUUGCCUGACUGUUGCCAUCCUGAGUGGCUCUAGGUCUUCUGUACUCCAAGUGGUUCCCUGAAUGGUCGAAUGACUCCAUCGAGGUCGAGCGAAAUUGGAGGUAUCCGAGUGAGGUGACUGGUCGAGUGGAUCGCACUCGAUGGCUUCAGUUGAUACUCCUUGUUAUAUCUUGAACGUCCUUGAUUCUAGGGUAGUGACCUUGGGUAGGGCGUAUAGGUCAGGUCUAUGACCCUACCCUAGGUCUAUGGCAUCGUCACCAGGAGCGAGGUCCAUUGGUCUUGGUUCGUAUCUGGAACCGGGAGCAAAAGUGUCAGUCGAAUCGGGACCAAUGGCCCCCGAGGCUCGGCCGGCGCCCUGGCCUCACGAACCGGGACUGAUGCACCCUUUGGUCCCAGUUCGUGAAUGAACCUGAAUUAAUGCCCUUAUCAUGGCCUCAACCAAAACCCUAUUUUCUACUAGUGGGGGGCAGGUGCCUAACUUCAGGAGGGCGCCAACCGUCGGGGAUUUGGGAGGGAGAAGAUACUGGACAGUCUACCCAUUGCGGGUCAUGGUAUGACAUGGGAUGCCGGAUCGUGGCCUCGGUGGGGGAGGAGGAUGGAAAGAGGGUAGCACGCUUCUGAUUUUCCUCAAGUUAGGAGGGUGGUUUCGAGAACACCAUCGUAAUUAAUUUGCAACUUAAAACAUAAAACAUGAUUUCAUUUGUGUCCUUGAUAUGUUUCACCGAGAAAUGUUAGCACUUGGUUUUUGAAACAUAUAUAAUGGUCUUACAGGGAAAAAAAUAUAACCGGGCAUGUAUGAGUCACCAUUUUUUCAUAAAAAAAUUACAACAAGUAGCUGAGCGGUGAGCCGAUCCCCACACUUGCAAGGAUUGUCACCUCUCUCGGGCUGGCUCCUUGGACGCCGCAACCUUAAUUGCAUAUAUCAGAUGGUGAUUGCUAUCGAUUGAGCAUUAGAUGGACUUGGAUGAUGGUGAAAAAUUGUUGUAGGCCUGGAACUUGAGCUUGCCACCGUACUCCUCGGGGAGCUGGGACUCGUCAAUGGCGUCUCUAAGCGUGGCGUCGAGGUCCCUAUCAGCGACGAACACAAACUUCUUCUUGGUCUUGUCAUCAAUAAAGGGGUACACCAUCUUCCAGGCAGCCAUGAAUAUGUAGGGCACGUGGAUCAGUAACACACGGCCCACCCUCUCCGGGUAAUAGCUCUGCAUGAUGUCCAGCCCUGCCAGGUACCCCCGCAUGUCGCAGUUCGCGUACCCCCAUCCCUUCAGGUCUAUCACUGCCGCAAACUUCUCCUGUCCUGCGGACAGCCUAUAACGAUUCAGACAAACCCAUCAGUUAACCACUCGAUCAAUCUACUGUUAGCUAGCUAGUUAGCAGACUGUGAAUGCAUGCAAAACUGAUGGAUCUAUCUGGGUCCAUACCUGGUGCAGCUUUUCUCAAAAGCGUAGGCCACGUAGCGCUUGAGAUCUUCGUGAUCACCCCGGACGGGGAAGUGGCACCCACCAUAGAGAUACGACAUGGGGCGACCAAGACGGUCAAAACCCUGGUGGUGGUCCCUUCCCUUUGCGAUCUCGCCCCGCACCUCGUCGUCCGAGAUAAAGCCAUGGGGCAUGGUGACACGCUUCCAGGCAAGGUACCGGAGAAGCAUCGCCGACGCCUUUUUGAUGUUGUGCUCCCGGGCACGCAGGAACCGCCGUAGCGCGAAGUCAUCCUCCUCCUGCACACGAACGAUAGCGAUAGAUGAACAAUUGGAUCAUCAUCCAGGUGUGCAUACGUGAUUGGAAGGCAGGUUCUAUGAGGAUGAUCGAUUGACAGAGAUGCAUCUAUCAAGAUGGGAGUGUUGGAUAUGGACUGACAAGAGACUGAUGAACCACCCGUACGUCCUCUCCUCUCAAACACUAACAGCUAAUUAAGCUAGCACAGCAACCUAGUUGACCCGUGCAGUUCACUGAAGGGGAAAUUAAUUGACCAUGCAUCCAGUGUGGUGUGAUUGAACUGGUCGAUCACGGCGAGGCGUACGUAGUCUACUUAGUCAGGCAAAAAGUUGACGAGGAAUCUCAAGAGACGAUGGAUAUUUUAUGAUGCCAAAAAUGCAGGACCUACGGGUGGGAUAUACUUGUAUGAUGCGAUACCUUUGCUGAGGGGUCCUGUGCCUCGACGACCUCCCUGAGCUCCGCCACCUUCUUCCACUCCGCCGCGUCACCGUCGCCGCCAUGGCCAUAUUGGCGCUCAUCAGUACCGCAAUCCAUAUUGAUCCCUGCUCCGAUGGUGGCGCUUGAUCUAUAUUGUGUUGGUGAGAGAGUGGCGAGAGGAUGGAUCGGUUCUUAUAGCUGGAGAAGGCUUGGCCUUGGGGUGUAAGAGGCAGAGAGAAGGGUGGUCAGUUGGGCUGUGAGGGAGUGAGUGAGGUGUCCCACUCCCAUCUACUUCUUGAUGGUGUAUAUUGAUGGAUUGGUUGACGCUGAAAUGGACUUCAACCUGCUAGGAGUAAUCUCCUAACUUCAAAGCUCAUCACAUCCCGACCGCGAAACUUAGUUAGGACUUAGGACCCUGGCCGGUCUGUAUAUCAAGAUUGCUACCGCUCAGUCUAUGAAAAAGAUUCUUCCGUUUUGGCUCCAUGUGUCAGAAAGCAGAAGCGCGUACGCAUCAACUUAUUUACUCGCCCGUGACACUAACAUCAUCAUAGUAACAUCUCUCGGCAGUUGCGUUAGUAACAUGAACGUACAACACUCGCUUUCUUUGUUAUUGAUAAGGGCAUCUCCAAUAGAUUGUAUGUUAGUCUUGUUGGUAAAUUGUCCAUGUCAUCAACCAACAAGCUAUCAUACAACUACUCCAAUGGGUUGUAUCUAAGCUAUCCAAUAGAUGUUGAGAAAAUAAAUGUGAUUGCUCUCUAUUUCACCUUGGAGCUUGUGCAAAGGUUGUUGGUUAUUCUACAUACAACUUUGAUCUCUUUCCACAUUUAUUACAUGCCAUAUCAUCACUAUGUCCUAGGUGGCAGAUUUACCAACACCUAUCUUACAGCUGUUGGAGAUGCCCUAAUAAGGAACUUGGCCACUUGGGAACUUAACAGUGAAGGCUAAUGGCGGAUGGAGACAGUACUAAACAAAACUACACAUAACUUGAGAGAGAGAGAGAGAGAGCUUAGGAAGAUGCUAUGAGCAGUGAUGUGAGUGUGUCUCUUCGCCGAGAGCCAAAGCACGGGCACUCGACAAACGUACAGAUGCCGAGAGCCAUAGUCGGCAACCACGGCUUCACGGCAACUAGCUAACAUUGCCGACACGAACUCACGGCGAACAAACAACGCACGGCAAGAGGCAUAGACGCUGUGAGCACCACACGGCAAAGAGAAGCCACGUGGCAUGCCCAUUCGCAACUAACGGCGCCGUCACUUUCUGUUACCUAUACCAAGAGCCGCGAUGGUUCGGUCAGCAAAAGUAUGUCACAGAAACAUUCAAACCUGACAUGUGGUCCAACUGGUCCCAAUUAUCAGUAAAACACACUGUUUUAAAUAGCCCGCCUAUAGUUCCGCUAUAGCACGCUAUAGCGUUUACAAAAGAUCUUGCGCUAAGAAACUUUGGUCCAAACAAAGGAACAAACAUUUUAAAUAGCGCGCUAUAGCUCCGCUAUAGCGCGCUAUAGCAUUUGGAAGAGGUCCGCCGCUAAGAUGCUUAGUGUGCUAUUUAAAACUAUGGUAAAACUAAAACAUUCAAAUUAUUUGUUAAUUUUUUAAAAAGAAUAAUAUGAUGCGUUGUCUUUAGCGAGAGGUUCCUUCUUACCGCUCGGUAUACGACCAUUGACGGAAACCUUCAAACAUGACCUAUGGGCCCAAGUGUCCCAUAUGACAGUUGAAAUUUUAUCGAGUGUUACAGCUCUUGGAAAAGAGUGGCACAACUGUAGUAGUUAAAGUGCUCAGAUGACCCUUUUCCAAAAGGGGCCCUUGGAAAAGAACGCGCAACAGUAGUUAAAGUGCUCAAGCGACCCCUCUGAGAGCAGCGCUCGUGAAUGGCUCUGUUUCCGAGUGUGGCUCUCGGAAAUGUGUCCCAUUGCUUCUGUUGUCAAACUGUUUCUUAUCUAAUCCCUACAACUGAAAACAACUAGAGUGCGUUUUCUGUCUAUAUCUUCAAUGUAGAAAAUGUUAUCAUAACAAAUGAAUGUGGGAGCUCCUAGCCCCCUAGAAAUUCAUCGAGCAACACAUCGCACACACAGGCAUAAUUUAAAGUAGUUCACAUAAGCAUAACUCAAACUAGUUCACAUAGGCCAAUGUUUCAUACUAGUACACAUCACACACAAGUUCACAAAUUCAUACAUAGGGUGAACUUAUGGAAGUUCACUACUUGCAAAACACAUGUACAUCGCAUAGAAGUUCACAUUUUCAUACAACAUCUUGAGGCGGAGGAAGGGCAUCAUUUCCAUCGGGUUAAGCUACUGGAGGAGGAGGAGGAGGAGGGGCAUCAUUUCCACCGCCUUGAAUUGCAUAAGAGCCUAUAAGAGUAGAGCCACGUGAGAAUAGUUCGUUGCUAUAUAAUGAAUGGGGCCAAAUUUAGAGAAUGUUCUACCUCUAGUUUUUUCUCGAGCAGCUUGAACCUUUCGUUUGCUUCUGCUCGUUCCUUCUCUCUUCUCUCCUCAGCAUGCUGCCUUUGCUCCUCUUCAGCAGCCCGAGACAGUCUACCCAUUUGUGCGUCGUGGGCCGACCUGGGAUACCGGAUCUAGGUGUCGGUGGGGGAGGAGGAUGGAAAGAGGGUAGCACGCGUGUGAAUUUCCUCAAGUUGGUAGGGUGGUUUUAAGAACACCAUCGUGAUUAAUUUGCAACUGUCAAACAUAAAACAUGAUUUUAUUUGUGUCUUUGAUGUGUUUCACCAAGAAAUGUCAGCGCUUGGUUUUUGAAACAUAUAUAACAGUCUUACAGGAAAAAAAACAUAUAUAACGGGGCACAUAUGAGAGUCACCAAUUUUUUCGUAAAAAAAUUACAACAUGUAGCUGAGCGGUGAGCUGAUCUCCCACACUUGCAAGGAUUGUCACCUCUUUCGGGCUGUCUCGCCGGACGCCGCAACCUUAUUUGCAUAUGCCGGAUGGUCAUCGCUAUCGAUUGAUCAUCAUAUGGAUUUGGACGAUGGUGAACUAUUGUAGGCCUAAAGCUUGAGCUUGCCACCGUACUCCUCAGGGAGCUGGGACUCGUCGAUGGCGUCUCGAAGUGUGGCGUCAAGGUCCCUAUCAGCGACGAACACAAACUUCUUCUUAGUCUUGUCAUCGAUUAAGGGGUACACAAUCUUCCACGCAGCCAUGAAUAUGUAGGGCACGUGGAUCAGGAACACGCGGCCCAGCCGCUCUGGGUAAUAGCUCUGCAUGAUGUCUAGCCCUGCCAGGUAUCCCCGGAUGUCGCAGUUCGCAUACCCCCAUCCCUUCAGGUCUAUCACCGCCGCAAACUUCUCCUGCCCUGCCGGCAGCCU
RNAcentral lists this long non-coding RNA (31900 nucleotides) under Triticum aestivum (bread wheat). RNAcentral describes it as "long non-coding RNA (TAES_LNC008226)". Lineage: Eukaryota; Viridiplantae; Streptophyta; Magnoliopsida; Poales; Poaceae. The record is from RNAcentral.